This 496-nucleotide ribosomal RNA is filed under the name uncultured microorganism. Its description in RNAcentral is "bacterial SSU rRNA". It matches the Rfam family "Archaeal small subunit ribosomal RNA", at positions 234 to 734 of the family's 1478-position model. The record is from RNAcentral.
UGUUGGGGUAACGGCCCAACAAGCCAUUGAUCAGUACGGGUUGUGGGAGCAAGAGCCCGGAGAUGGAUUCUGAGACACGAAUCCAGGCCCUACGGGGCGCAGCAGGCGCGAAAACUUUACAAUGCGGGCAACCGUGAUAAGGGAACCUCGAGUGCCUGUAUAUGCAGGCUGUCUGGGUGUCUAAAACACACCUAAAGAAAGGGCCGGGCAAGACCGGUGCCAGCCGCCGCGGUAAUACCGGCGGCUCGAGUGGUGGCCACUUUUAUUGGGCUUAAAGCGUUCGUAGCUGGGUUAUUAAGUCCCUUGGGAAAUCCGACGGCUUAACCGUCGGGCGUCUAAGGGAUACUGGCAAUCUUGGAACCGGGAGAGGUGAGGGGUACUUCGGGGGUAGGAGUGAAAUCCUGUAAUCCUCGAGGGACCACCUGUGGCGAAGGCGCCUCACCAGAACGGCUUCGACAGUGAGGGACGAAAGCUGGGGGAGCAAACCGGAUUAGAU